Molecule: long non-coding RNA, 581 nt
Filed under: Nicotiana benthamiana
Lineage: Eukaryota; Viridiplantae; Streptophyta; Magnoliopsida; Solanales; Solanaceae
Description: long non-coding RNA (NBEN_LNC031822)
Source: RNAcentral
CUAUUUCCAUUUCUCAGUCUCCAAUUUAAGUAUCACAUUGUAUGAAUUUCAAGGAUGUGUCUGUGGUAUUGAACAACAAAGCCAAAAGAAAGUGAGAUAUCAGUAAGCAUCAACAGUAUAGCAGAAUCAACACCAAAUAAACCAGUUCAAACAAGUAAAUGAGGUGCAAUAGCCCAGAAACCAAUUUCAGUAAAACAAUGAACCAGAAAUCCUCAAGCCAGCCUCAAUCUCAAUCCAUUUCACACCCAAAUAAAUCAUAAAUUGCUUCAGCAAAUGAAGGUAUCAAGAUUUGAAGCAGAAAAACCUAAUAGAACAGUAAACCCAAAUAGUAAACUUAAAAACAAGCCUAAACCAAACGCAAACCAUUCCAGGCCUUAGGUGAGUUGAAAUUUGUUUCAGAAAUUCAAAGAAAGAACUUCAAAGUCACAAAAGAGAGUUCAAUGAAGCAGUAAUUUUUGUGCUCUUUUUUGGUAUUUUUUCUCUUAGUUUUCAGACUUUAUAAAUGUGUUGUGUUUUUCUCUAUAUUUUUUUCUCUUCAGGUCUCCUUUUCAGCUCUCAGUUCUGCUUGAAAUUCAAGAAAG